CAGUAGUUGGCAGAAAUGAGCAGAUCGCGCGGAGUGUUCCAUAACAGAAGAACAGGAAGAACUACGUCAUUGAGCGACUCGUGUAUAUAUAUCACGAGGCGCACGAGGGGUAGUUCUUUCUUUUCUGAAGUGGCGAAGCGAGAAAUAUGCAUUCAGAGAAGUUUCGAUAAAAUAUACGACUGAUUUAUGAUCUUUUUCGGUGGCUUCACAAAUUUACGAUCUUUUACGAGGGCUUCACAAAUUUACGAUUUCAAAUGAAGGGGAUUGAGAUGACUUCAGCUUUGGACUUUCAGCACUUUUUUUUUUUUUUUUUUUUUUUUUUUUUUUUUUGUGAAUUUCAUAUUUGUAUGUUUUGUAUUAUUGUGACUCGAAGAAAUCUCAAAACCCAAUAAAAGUUGUUUAUUCA
Ctenopharyngodon idella (grass carp) is the source of this 406-nucleotide long non-coding RNA. RefSeq lists it as uncharacterized. NCBI's taxonomy places the organism in Eukaryota, Metazoa, Chordata, Actinopteri, Cypriniformes, Xenocyprididae. The transcript has 4 exons. The record is from RefSeq and is a predicted model, not a curated record.